Molecule: long non-coding RNA, 1754 nt
Filed under: Aquilegia coerulea
Lineage: Eukaryota; Viridiplantae; Streptophyta; Magnoliopsida; Ranunculales; Ranunculaceae
Description: long non-coding RNA (ACOE_LNC001238)
Source: RNAcentral
GGGAAUAUAGAAGAUCUGUACAAUGCUAUAUGAGAAGUAAAAUUUGUAUACAGUAUAAAGUUUUUAUGUUGUGUAACAGCACCCUUACAAAAGAACACAUCCAUAUAUGGAAAAGAAUUGUGGACAACUUAAUAUGAUGACGUUCAAAAACUAGCGAUGAAAAUAUCUCGUCCUUGACUUCUGUCUUUAGAUCAGGCAAUCAGCUGGCUGCCAAUAGUCAUAUCCAAUUACUUUACAUAGGCUUCAAGCCUUGAAUUUGAAGCUUGGCAUGCAAGUAUUUCUGCGGACCAAUAAUCUUAAGGCUUCUUGGUGGACCUGCAUGCAGAUAUCAAACACUGAAAUUCCUCAUGACAUACUUGAAAGAAAAUAUAUUAUCUCAUUCUCACCAGAUAUCAAGAACCACAGAGUAGUUGUUACUGCAGAAUAUAGAGAACCAGCAGUAGAGGAGGAUCUUGCCACUAUAAUCUUCAUGAUGUAGGUAUUCUUGAUAACCUCCAAUCCAAUCUCUAGAGUCUAGACAACACAAAUGCACCCAUGAAUUUUACUUCUAGACUGCAAGUGUCAAUGAUUUCAUAAUCAGCAGAAUCAAUGGACAAUGCAACGAGCAUAUUCAAUCGUCCUGGAGGAUGCAAAAAUAAAGGUUAAUUUAAAGAUACAGAUUUUAAUUUAUUUCAGUAAAUAAAACGUUAUUAACAAAACCUAACCCAAUGUCUCGAUACAGCUGAUCAAUCCUGUUCCUUAGAUCCAAUCCAUCUAUUCCGACUGAUCAAUACUUCACGUGUUUCCACUUGCUCUUAACCAUCACAAUAACAAUUUGCUUUGUCCUUGGUCCACUUCACUUUACAAGGUCUAGACUCCUCAAACAAAACAAUAUUCAGAUUAUCUUCUCAGUAUAAAUUGUGAGUUGGCAAUUAAUCGGGAUCAAAAGAUUACUUCAAAUAGUUAACACACCUGGUGCAAUGUUGGCUUCCGCAAAGAGCAGCCCAAACUUUUGUAUGAAAUACCUUCACAUGAAUCUGCCUCAAUACAUCUACAUGUGUCCAAGUUCAGCUCUUAUAAGUAAACAAAAAAAAAAGAAUUUUAUCAAAUGAACGAGGCAGUAGAAGUCCACAUUAUAGCAUGCAUUGUGGAUCUGGGCUAACCAAAAGAAAUUUAGGAUGUAGUCAGAAUGUGAAUCUUAUUACAUGCACAAUAAAUACAGAAACAAAUAUCUAAAUGACUAAAUCCAUAGCAUUUGAGGUCUGAAAAAGGUCAAAAAGCUUCUAAUAUCACUUCUUUAUGACCUUUACAUGGAAGGACAGCACCUUCACUGAUUCAGACAAAAAUAUGUGUAUCUUUGUGUCUUUUACAUUUUUCGAUAAUAUAAGAACCAGCGAAUUUUAUUAGGACACUGGACACCAUUACAUAUACAUGUCGGAAAGCAGUGUGAGUGCCAAACGUACAAAACUUAUUCUGAACUUUCCAUCUUGGAUGUUGCUCAGACUUUUCCAUUACAUUUACCCACGAGUCAGUGAUAAAUUACAACAUGAUAAGGAAAAUUGCUGAUUGCACUAACCAACAGAUUGUUUGUGCUGUUUCUCCGCUGGUAUCAUCAGUGUCCUAAGGGGUCGAUUAUUUUUUAAAAGAACUGGGUGGUCAUAAAACAAUGAAUGAGAUCACUCAUAGUGUUAUUAGUAAACUAGGUAACUCAGACAUUGAAUACUCUACAUAAAAUUAUGUUCAGAACUGAAUAUCUAAGCAAACAUAGAAGAACU